GGAGUGGAGCUAUGUAGAAUAGGUAAAUAAACUUUGUGGUAAGUUACUGGUUGGUUAUUGACAACCUUGAGAAUUAGAUUGAUGGUUAGGCAAUUUAGUUGGUAACAGUAGGUUGUUAGUAGAAUAAAUGGUUAACAAUUCAAAGGGACAUAACCUUUGGAAUCCACUGGCCGGCAAAUCAUCUUUUUAGUAGGAUAAAUAGGUUGAAGAAAGAGAGAUCGAGAGCCAGAGUGAGAAUCAUAAGCCGAGAGCGAGACUGAGAAUCAUAAGCCGGGGUAAGCUUGGUCCUACUUCUUUGUUUUUUUUAUUAUUUGAUUAUGAAGAAUGGUGAUUGAGAGAAGCAUUAUUGAAUUGAUAAUCUUAGAAUGGAUUAUG
RNAcentral lists this long non-coding RNA (375 nucleotides) under Physcomitrium patens. RNAcentral's name for it is "long non-coding RNA (PPAT_LNC007199)". Lineage: Eukaryota; Viridiplantae; Streptophyta; Bryopsida; Funariales; Funariaceae. The record is from RNAcentral.